This 425-nucleotide ribosomal RNA is filed under the name uncultured bacterium. Its description in RNAcentral is "bacterial SSU rRNA". It matches the Rfam family "Bacterial small subunit ribosomal RNA", at positions 355 to 772 of the family's 1533-position model. The record is from RNAcentral.
UGGGGAAUUUUGGACAAUGGGGGCAACCCUGAUCCAGCCAUUCCGCGUGAGUGAAGAAGGCCUUCGGGUUGUAAAGCUCUUUUGUCCGGAACGAAACGGCGAGCGUGAAUAUCGCUCGCUACUGACGGUACCGGAAGAAUAAGCACCGGCUAACUACGUGCCAGCAGCCGCGGUAAUACGUAGGGUGCGAGCGUUAAUCGGAAUUACUGGGCGUAAAGCGUGCGCAGGCGGUUUUGUAAGCCAGAUGUGAAAUCCCCGGGCUCAACCUGGGAAUGGCAUUUGGGACUGCAAGGCUGGAGUUUGGCAGAGGAGACUGGAAUUCCCGGUGUAGCAGUGAAAUGCGUAGAUAUUGGGAGGAAUACCGAUGGCGAAGGCAGGUCUCUGGGCUAUAACUGACGCUCAUGCACGAAAGCGUGGGGAGCAAA